Long non-coding RNA from Setaria italica (foxtail millet), 478 nucleotides. RefSeq lists it as uncharacterized. The record is from RefSeq and is a predicted model, not a curated record. The transcript has 3 exons. Lineage: Eukaryota; Viridiplantae; Streptophyta; Magnoliopsida; Poales; Poaceae.
CACGCUGCGCAGGUCGUCUCCGCCCCUUCUCGCUGGGCGGCACCCGAGGCCUCCAGAACCGGCGCAUCCUCCUCUUCCACCAAGUUGAUUGUCCGCAUUCUCUACUGGUGGGAGAGUGAUUAGCGAGUAUAGAAGUCGUCUGACAAGCAAGAAUGUAGAAGCAUUAAUAUGCCUCCAGGAUUGGUUGAGAGCAGAAGGUUAUACCAGCUUCAAGAUGGCAGAAGAUAUUGACGAUAACGAGGAUCGGUACUAUGAAGGCACUGCAUGAAGUAAACUCUUUUCAUGAAUCGAAGAAAGAUGGUGCUUGGUCGAGCAAGGUUCUUUAGUACAAGUUAUUCUGAAAGAAUUGAGAUAUUGAGUUGACCUAGUGAACGUACUGAAAAUAGCUAUUAGUUCAAGUUCAUCUAUGUAAUAUAUCCAGAAUUGUUUGAUUGAUCUGACUAUCCAGAAUUGUAAUGUUAAAUUUUCAACAUGGUUC